Molecule: ribosomal RNA, 749 nt
Filed under: Lactiplantibacillus plantarum
Lineage: Bacteria; Bacillati; Bacillota; Bacilli; Lactobacillales; Lactobacillaceae
Description: bacterial SSU rRNA
Rfam family: Bacterial small subunit ribosomal RNA
Source: RNAcentral
CUAAUACAUGCAAGUCGAACGAACUCUGGUAUUGAUUGGUGCUUGCAUCAUGAUUUACAUUUGAGUGAGUGGCGAACUGGUGAGUAACACGUGGGAAACCUGCCCAGAAGCGGGGGAUAACACCUGGAAACAGAUGCUAAUACCGCAUAACAACUUGGACCGCAUGGUCCGAGCUUGAAAGAUGGCUUCGGCUAUCACUUUUGGAUGGUCCCGCGGCGUAUUAGCUAGAUGGUGGGGUAACGGCUCACCAUGGCAAUGAUACGUAGCCGACCUGAGAGGGUAAUCGGCCACAUUGGGACUGAGACACGGCCCAAACUCCUACGGGAGGCAGCAGUAGGGAAUCUUCCACAAUGGACGAAAGUCUGAUGGAGCAACGCCGCGUGAGUGAAGAAGGGUUUCGGCUCGUAAAACUCUGUUGUUAAAGAAGAACAUAUCUGAGAGUAACUGUUCAGGUAUUGACGGUAUUUAACCAGAAAGCCACGGCUAACUACGUGCCAGCAGCCGCGGUAAUACGUAGGUGGCAAGCGUUGUCCGGAUUUAUUGGGCGUAAAGCGAGCGCAGGCGGUUUUUUAAGUCUGAUGUGAAAGCCUUCGGCUCAACCGAAGAAGUGCAUCGGAAACUGGGAAACUUGAGUGCAGAAGAGGACAGUGGAACUCCAUGUGUAGCGGUGAAAUGCGUAGAUAUAUGGAAGAACACCAGUGGCGAAGGCGGCUGUCUGGUCUGUAACUGACGCUGAGGCUCGAAAGUAU